AUUGAACGCUGGCGGCAGGCCUAACACAUGCAAGUCGAACGAGUGGCGGACGGGUGAGUAAUGUCUGGGAAACUGCCUGAUGGAGGGGGAUAACUACUGGAAACGGUAGCUAAUACCGCAUACCAUCAGAUGUUCCCAGAUGGGAUUAGCUUGUUGGUGGGGUAACGGCUCACCAAGGCGACGAUCCCUAGCUGGUCUGAGAGGAUGACCAGCAACACGGGAACGAGGACACGGGCCGAGUCCCUACGGGGGGCAGCAGUGGGGAAUAUGGCACAAUGGGCGCAAGCCUGAUGCAGCCAUGCCGGGUGUAGGAAGAAGGCCUUCGGGUUGUAAAGUACUUUCAGCGGGGAGGCGUUACCAGCAGAAGAAGCACCGGCUAACUCCGUGCCAGCAGCCGCGGUAAUU
RNAcentral lists this ribosomal RNA (405 nucleotides) under uncultured bacterium. RNAcentral's name for it is "partial 16S ribosomal RNA". It matches the Rfam family "Bacterial small subunit ribosomal RNA", at positions 29 to 525 of the family's 1533-position model. The record is from RNAcentral.